This 360-nucleotide ribosomal RNA is filed under the name uncultured bacterium. RNAcentral describes it as "partial 16S ribosomal RNA". It matches the Rfam family "Bacterial small subunit ribosomal RNA", at positions 338 to 715 of the family's 1533-position model. The record is from RNAcentral.
CCUACGGGGUGCAGCAGUGGGGAAUAUUGCACAAUGGAGGGAACUCUGAUGCAGCGACGCCGCGUGAGUGAAGAAGUAAUUCGUUAUGUAAAGCUCUAUCAGCAGGGAAGAAAGUGACGGUACCUGAAAAAGAAGCUCCGGCUAAAGACGUGCCAGCAGCCGCGGUAAUACGUAUGGAGCAAGCGUUAUCCGGAUUUACUGGGUGUAAAGGGAGAGUAGGUGGCAGAGCAAGUCCGAAGUUAAAACCCAAAGCUAAACUAUGGGAAUGCUUUAGAAACGGCUCCGCUAGAGUGCAGGAGUGCCAAUUGGAAUUCUUAGUGUAGCGGUGAAAUGCGUCGAUAUUAGGAGGCACCCCAGUGG